CUACUACUAAUCUAACUGUCUGUAGGUCCAACAGAACACAACACACCACUACUACUAAUCUAACUGUCUGUAGGUCCAACAGAACACAUUAAAACACACCACUACUACUAAUCUAACUGUCUGUAGGUCCAACAGAACACAACACACCACCACUACUAAUCUAACUGUCUGUAGGUCCAACAGAACACAUUAAAACACACCACUACUACUAAUCUAACUGUCUGUAGGUCCAACAGAACACAUUAAAACACACCACUACUACUAAUCUAACUGUCUGUAGGUCCAACAGAACACAUUAAAACACACCACUACUACUAAUCUAACUGUCUGUAGGUCCAACAGAACACAUUAAAACACACCACUACUACUAAUCUAACUGUCUGUAGGUCCAACAGAACCCAUUAAAACACACCUCUACUACUAACCUAACUGUCUGUAGGUCCAACAGAACACAAUAAAACACACCACUACUACUAAUAUAACUACUACUAAUCUAAGCCCAUAGAAACACAUUGAAGAACACAUACAUAGAAGACAGUCAAAUAAAUAAAUCAUAAGACAAGGUUUUGAAGUGUCUUUCCUACAUGUAGGAGAUAUAAGAAAGCUUUGGCAAUAUGUUUUACACAUAGUGAUUAACCCCUUUUUGGGGGUUUAGUGACAACACUACCUUCAAAUGAAAAUCUACCCUUUCC
Long non-coding RNA from Oncorhynchus keta (chum salmon), 692 nucleotides. RefSeq lists it as uncharacterized. NCBI's taxonomy places the organism in Eukaryota, Metazoa, Chordata, Actinopteri, Salmoniformes, Salmonidae. The record is from RefSeq and is a predicted model, not a curated record. The transcript has 3 exons.